CGGUAAUUCCAGCUCCAAUAGCGUAUACUAAAGUUGUUGCAGUUAAAAAGCUCGUAGUUGGAUUUCUGCGGGGACGGAGCGGCCGGACGCAACUUGCGUCUCGAGCUAGCGCUUUCCCCGCAUCCUGCCGCGAACCGUGCUACCAUUAGUUUGGUGGCGCUGGGGAUCGGCUCGAUUACUUUGAGAAAAAUAGAGUGUUCAAAGCAGGCCACACGCCUUGAAUAAGUUAGCAUGGAAUAAUGACUAAGGACUUCGGUUCUAUUUUGUUGGUGUUCGGGACUGAAGUAAUGAUUGAUAGGGACAGUUGGGGCGGUCUGUAUUCCAAAGCGAGAGGUGAAAUUCUUAGACCUUCGGAAGACAAACAGCUGCGAAAGCGUUCCGCAAGGAUGUUCCCUUUGAUCAAGAACGAAAGUUGGGGGAUCGAAGACGAUCAGAUACCGUCGUAGUCUCAACUAUAAACUAUACCAGCUAGGGAUCGGUCAACGUUUAAUUAUUCGACUUGAUCGGCACCUUAUGAGAAAUCAAAGCAUCUGGGUUCCGGGGGGAGUAUGGUCGCAAGGCUGAAACUUAAAGGAAUUGACGGAAGGGCACCACCAGCCGUGGAGCCUGUGGCUUAAUUUGACUCAACACGGGAAAACUUACCAGGUCCAGACAUAGUAAGGAUUGACAGAUUGAUAGCUCUUUCUUGAUUCUGUGGGUGGUGGUGCAUGGCCGUUCUUAGUUGGUGGAGUGAUUUGUCUGGUUAAUUCCGUUAACGAACGAGACCCCAGCCUGCUAAAUAGCGCGGUUGAGCUUUGCUCGAUGCGAGCUUCUUAGAGGGACUAUGAUGCGCGAUAGCACAUGGAAGUUUGGGGCAAUAACAGGUCUGUGAUGCCCUUAGAUGUUCUGGGCCGCACACGGGCUACACUGGCGCCUGCAACGAGCAUAUCAGCUGGCCCGAGAGGGUCUUGGCUAAUCUUUUGAACCGGCGCCGUGCUUGGGAUUGACCUUUGCAAUUGUUGGUCAUGCAACGAGGAAUGCCUUGUAAACGCGAGUCAUCAGCUCGCAUUGAAUACGUCCCUGCCCUUUGUACACACCGCCCGUCGCUCCUACCGAUGAAUGUUCCGAUGAAAUUUUCGGAGAGCGCCAGAGAACGGGGCUCUGCCUUGCAGAUCUGGAGGCUCAAAGUCACUUAAAUCUGAACAUUUCGAGGAAGGAGAAGUCGUAACAAGGUAACC
This 1217-nucleotide ribosomal RNA is filed under the name uncultured Rhizaria. Its description in RNAcentral is "SSU rRNA". It matches the Rfam family "Eukaryotic small subunit ribosomal RNA", at positions 577 to 1804 of the family's 1831-position model. The record is from RNAcentral.